This 31-nucleotide transfer RNA is filed under the name Spinulum annotinum. Its description in RNAcentral is "partial tRNA-His". Lineage: Eukaryota; Viridiplantae; Streptophyta; Lycopodiopsida; Lycopodiales; Lycopodiaceae. The record is from RNAcentral. RNAcentral also lists the same sequence under 11 other names.
GGCGGAUGUAGCCAAGUGGAUUAAGGCAGUG